CAGUGAUAGUUAGCGGCGGACGGGUGAGUAACACGUGGGUAACCUGCCCAUAAAACUGGUGAUAACUCCGGUGAAACCGGGGCUAAUACCGGAUAACAUUUUGAACCGCAUGGUUCGAAAUUGAAAGGCGGCUUCGGCUGUCACUUAUGGAUGGACCCGCGUCCCAUUAGCUAGUUGGUGAGGUAACGGCUCACCUAGGCAACGAUGCGUAGCCGACCUGAUAGGGGGAUCGGCCACACUGGGACUGAGACACCGCCCACACUCCUACGGGAGGCAGCAGCAUGGAAUCUUCCGCAAUGGACGAAAGUCUGACGGAGCAACGCCGCGUGAGUGAUGAAGGCUUUCGGGUCGUAAAACUCUGUCUGUUAGGGAAGAACAAGUGCUACUUGAAUAACUUGGCUCCUUGACGGUACCUAACCUCAAAGCCGCGGUUAACUACGUGCCAGCAGCCGCAGUGAUACUUACGUGGCAAGCGUUAUCCGGAAUUAUUGGGCGUAAAGCGCGCGCACGCGGUUUCUUAAUUCUGAUGUGAAAUCCCACGGCUCAUCCGCGGAGGGACAUUGGAAACUGGGAGACUUGACUGCAGAAGACGAAAGCGGAAUUCCAUGUGUAGCUGUGAAAUGCCUACAGAUAUGGACGAACACCAUUGGCGAAUGCGACUUUCUGGUCUGUAACUGACACUGACGCGCAAAAGCGUGAGGAGCAAACACGAUUAUAUACCCUGGUAGUCCACGCCGUAAACGAUGAGUGCUAAGUGUUAUACGGUUUCCUCCUCUACUGCUGAAGCUAACGCAUUAAGCACUCCUCCUGGGGAGUACCGCCGCNAUGCUGANCUCANNGGAAUUGACGGUGCCCGCACNNNCGNGGAACAUGUGGUUUAAUUCUAGCACGUACAGAUCCUACCAGNCUUGACCUCCUCUGACACCUAUACUAGGCNNUCGUCNGGAGCAACUACUGAGGUGCAUGGUG
Molecule: ribosomal RNA, 969 nt
Filed under: Bacillus sp. (in: firmicutes)
Lineage: Bacteria; Bacillati; Bacillota; Bacilli; Caryophanales; Bacillaceae
Description: bacterial SSU rRNA
Rfam family: Bacterial small subunit ribosomal RNA
Source: RNAcentral